AAUUAAUACCUCAUAGUAUGUGAGGAUGGCAUCUAUUUUCACAUUAAAGUCACAACGGACAAAAGAUGAGCAUGCGUCCCAUUAGCUAGUUGGUAAGGUAACGGCUUACCAAGGCUACGAUGGGUAGGGGUCCUGAGAGGGAGACUCCCCCACACUGGUACUGAGACACGGACCAGACUCCUACGGGAGGCAGCAGUGAGGAAUAUUGGACAAUGGGCGCAAGCCUGAUCCAGCCAUGCCGCGUGCAGGAUGACGGUCCUAUGGAUUGUAAACUGCUUUUGUACAGGAAGAAACACUACUUCGUGAAGUAGCUUGACGGUACUGUAAGAAUAAGGAUCGGCUAACUCCGUG
RNAcentral lists this ribosomal RNA (351 nucleotides) under uncultured bacterium. RNAcentral's name for it is "bacterial SSU rRNA". It matches the Rfam family "Bacterial small subunit ribosomal RNA", at positions 161 to 507 of the family's 1533-position model. The record is from RNAcentral.